UACUCUCACACUCUCCAAUCCUUUGGGUUUGGGGAGCGGUGGACUUGGGUGCCUGCUGCUUUUCGUUGUGGCUCACCUUAAAUGCGUUAGUGCACCUCUUGGUUGGACAUAGUACGGCGUGAUAAGUGUCUUCGCCGGCACCUCGCAAGAGGGUGGUCAAUCUAGAGAGCUCUGUGCUUUCAAAACCGUCUUCGGACAAUCUCUGACAAC
RNAcentral lists this unclassified non-coding RNA (210 nucleotides) under uncultured Sebacina. Its description in RNAcentral is "sequence contains ITS2". Lineage: Eukaryota; Fungi; Basidiomycota; Agaricomycetes; Sebacinales; Sebacinaceae. The record is from RNAcentral.